GAUGAACGCUGGCGGCGUGCCUAAUACAUGCAAGUCGAGCGAACAGACGAGGAGCUUGCUCCUCUGACGUUAGCGGCGGGCGGGUGAGUAACACGUUGAUAACCUACCUAUAAGACUGGGAUAACUUCGGGAAACCGGAGCUAAUACCGGAUAAUAUAUUGAACCGCAUGGUUCAAUAGUGAAAGACGGUUUUGCUGUCACUUAUAGAUGGAUCCGCGCCGCAUUAGCUAGUUGGUAAGGUAACGGCUUACCAAGGCAACGAUGCGUAGCCGACCUGAGAGGGUGAGCGGCCACACUGGAACUGAGACACGGUCCAGACUCCUACGGGAGGCAGCAGUAGGGAAUCUUACGCAAUGGGCGAAAGCCUGACGGAGCAACGCCGCGUGAGUGAUGAAGGUCUUCGGAUCGUAAAACUCUGUUAUUAGGGAAGAACAAAUGUGUAAGUAACUAUGCACGUCUUGACGGUACCUAAUCAGAAAGCCACGGCUAACUACGUG
This 497-nucleotide ribosomal RNA is filed under the name uncultured bacterium. RNAcentral's name for it is "partial 16S ribosomal RNA". It matches the Rfam family "Bacterial small subunit ribosomal RNA", at positions 28 to 507 of the family's 1533-position model. The record is from RNAcentral.